RNAcentral lists this ribosomal RNA (800 nucleotides) under uncultured bacterium. RNAcentral's name for it is "bacterial SSU rRNA". It matches the Rfam family "Bacterial small subunit ribosomal RNA", at positions 8 to 783 of the family's 1533-position model. The record is from RNAcentral.
AGAGUUUGAUCCUGGCUCAGAACAAACGCUGGCGGCGUGCCUAACACAUGCAAGUCGUACGAGAAAGUCGGCUUCGGCCGAUAAGUAAAGCGGCGCACGGGUGAGUAACGCGUGGAUAAUCUACCCUUUAGUCAGGAAUAACCUACCGAAAGGUGGGCUAAUACCUGAUAACACUAUUUUCACCCCGGUGGGAUAGUCAAAGAUAGCCUCUAUUCAUAAGCUUUCACUGAAGGAUGAGUCCGCGUACCAUUAGCUAGUUGGCAGGGUAAUGGCCUACCAAGGCUCUGAUGGUUAGCUGGUCUGAGAGGAUGAUCAGCCACACUGGAACUGAGACACGGUCCAGACUCCUACGGGAGGCAGCAGUGAGGAAUCUUGCGCAAUGGGGGAAACCCUGACGCAGCAACGCCGCGUGAGUGAGGAAGGUCUUCGGAUCGUAAAGCUCUGUCAGGUGGGAAGAAACACAUGGGAGUUAACAGCUCUCAUGCUUGACGGUACCGCCAGAGGAAGCACCGGCUAACUCCGUGCCAGCAGCCGCGGUAAUACGGGGGGUGCAAGCGUUGUUCGGAAUUAUUGGGCGUAAAGAGCGUGUAGGCGGCUGGAUAAGUCAGAUGUGAAAGCCCUGGGCUUAACCCAGGAAGUGCAUUUGAAACUGUUCGGCUGGAGUAAGGGAGAGGAAAGUGGAAUUCCUGGUGUAGAGGUGAAAUUCGUAGAUAUCAGGAGGAACACCUGUGGCGAAGGCGACUUUCUGGCCCUAUACUGACGCUGAGACGCGAGAGCGUGGGUAGCAAACAGGAUUAGAU